CAAGCCUGCCUAGGAGGGGCUGGGGGCUGGAGGAGGUGGCUGUGUUUUCUUUUCUUCCUUAAUUUCACUGAAUAAAGCAGGGGUUAAGUGGGAAGGCUCAGAGGCCUCUCUGGAGCUGGAGAAAUCUUGAUGAAAAAUGGUUAGGAAGACAAAAUAAGUGUGUCCACUGGAGGUUGUGAAGGACUCCAUGUCCUCGUCGGAGAUCUCCCCCAGACUCUCUUCCUGGGCUUCAGCCUAUGCAGAAGAAGAGACUUUAGACUUGACAUCAUCAGACAGACCUGGGGAUCCAACCACAGGAUCCUUGAUAUCAAAGUUGUAAACCUGUGGGCUGAAUCUUGCCUGUAAUUAUUUUUUGCCCAACAUAGUGCUUUCAAAAUCGGGAAAUUCUACAAAGAAUUUGGAUUUUGGAUUUCUCUUAAAAAUCAGAAAAUCUGGCAAUUCUGAGUCUCCAUUCCCACAUGGCAUUAUUGGCUGGAGCUGAGUAAUGACUGCACAGGUGCCUUAGACUAAAUGAUUCCUCACCGGACUCAUCCAUCUCGUCACUCAGUACAGACUGCUCCUGCUGGCUCACUGCCGUCUCCUCGGUUAAGGAAGACUCAGAUUCGUGGUCAUCUUCUUCUGCCUCUUCUGCC
Molecule: long non-coding RNA, 632 nt
Organism: Zalophus californianus (California sea lion)
Lineage: Eukaryota; Metazoa; Chordata; Mammalia; Carnivora; Otariidae
Exons: 3
Source: RefSeq, a predicted model, not a curated record